AUUUAUAUAGUUUAUAAUAAAACAUUACAUUUUCACUGUAAAAUAGAUUAAUUUCUGUAAAUA
RNAcentral lists this transfer RNA (63 nucleotides) under Palaestes abruptus. RNAcentral's name for it is "tRNA-Glu". Lineage: Eukaryota; Metazoa; Arthropoda; Insecta; Coleoptera; Cucujidae. The record is from RNAcentral.